Molecule: long non-coding RNA, 775 nt
Organism: Sitophilus oryzae (rice weevil)
Lineage: Eukaryota; Metazoa; Arthropoda; Insecta; Coleoptera; Curculionidae
Exons: 3
Source: RefSeq, a predicted model, not a curated record
UUUUUUAAUUCAGACAUAUCUGCUCAUUUGUUAGUUUCGGGCGUGAGCCGAAAACACUUAUUUGAGCUUUUGAAUGAAAAUGGCUGGAUGGGAAAUGCCACUUCUUUAGUUGUGAGAAAAAAGAUGGCCGACUUUGUCAUACAACGCAUCCCUACUGCUGACGAUGAUGGCCUAACCAACAAAAUAUCAUGGUUUUCAACUCAAAUUGCUUUACGUUGGAAAAGGUGCUACCGAAAUAACACCUUUCAGCAACAUGCAAAAACGCCUUCGCGAAAGAACUGAAGAGAAUUUAUUGCUAUUAGUACUAGAACUAAGAGAAGACGUACACAAGAAUUGAUUUCUCAAUAUGUCCUGCUGAACUUGCGUCAGACUGGAUAUACAAGAAAAGGAAAGAGAAAUGUUGCUUUUGCCAUCAAAACAGCUACGAUUUCUAGUCCCGAAGAGUUGGCAAAAAUAAAAAAUUUAGAAAGGUUAAACAACGAGAUGCGACCAUUUUCUCCAGAGGAAGCCUUGAUAAAGAUAACAUUUUGUAGAUCAGUAAAUACAUUCAGUUAAAAUACCCAAGUAACACAAUAUCAUUGUCAACAUUGUUUUAAGUUGUAAUAUUCACUUGUAAAUUCAAUAAAUAAAAUGACAAAAUACCAUCUUGUUAAUAUCCUGACGCAAUAAAACAAAAUAAUAUUAAGUACUGUAAAUGGUAUAGAGCGUCAAAAAUAAAAAUGGCUGUAACUUUUGAUACACAUAGUAUAAACCAUUCACCCCUAUAUCAAAAUGC